This 253-nucleotide ribosomal RNA is filed under the name uncultured bacterium. Its description in RNAcentral is "partial 16S ribosomal RNA". It matches the Rfam family "Bacterial small subunit ribosomal RNA", at positions 524 to 776 of the family's 1533-position model. The record is from RNAcentral. RNAcentral also lists the same sequence under 2 other names.
UACGAAGGGGGCUAGCGUUGCUCGGAAUCACUGGGCGUAAAGGGCGCGUAGGCGGACUCUUAAGUCAGGGGUGAAAGCCUGAGGCUCAACCUCAGAACUGCCUUUGAUACUGAGAGUCUCGAGACCGGUAGAGGUAAGUGGAACUGCGAGUGUAGAGGUGAAAUUCGUAGAUAUUCGCAAGAACACCAGUGGCGAAGGCGGCUUACUGGACCGGUUCUGACGCUGAGGCGCGAAAGCGUGGGGAGCAAACAGG